ACGAACGCUGGCGGCAGGCCUAACACAUGCAAGUCGAGCGCCCCGCAAGGGGAGCGGCGGCCGGGUGAGUAACGCGUGGGAAUAUGCCCUUUGCUACGGAAUAGUCUCGGGAAACUGGGGGUAAUACCGUAUACGCCCUUUGGGGGAAAGAUUUAUCGGCGAAGGAUUAGCCCGCGUUGGAUUAGGUAGUUGGUGGGGUAAUGGCCUACCAAGCCGACGAUCCAUAGCUGGUUUGAGAGGAUGAUCAGCCACACUGGGACUGAGACACGGCCCAGACUCCUACGGGAGGCAGCAGUGGGGAAUCUUAGACAAUGGGGGCAACCCUGAUCUAGCCAUGCCGCGUGAGUGAUGAAGGCCUUAGGGUUGUAAAGCUCUUUCAGCUGGGAAGAUAAUGACGGUACCAGCAGAAGAAGCCCCGGCUAACUCCGUG
Molecule: ribosomal RNA, 430 nt
Filed under: uncultured bacterium
Lineage: Bacteria
Description: partial 16S ribosomal RNA
Rfam family: Bacterial small subunit ribosomal RNA
Source: RNAcentral